RNAcentral lists this ribosomal RNA (403 nucleotides) under uncultured Syntrophus sp. RNAcentral describes it as "bacterial SSU rRNA". It matches the Rfam family "Bacterial small subunit ribosomal RNA", at positions 980 to 1381 of the family's 1533-position model. The record is from RNAcentral. Lineage: Bacteria; Pseudomonadati; Thermodesulfobacteriota; Syntrophia; Syntrophales; Syntrophaceae.
CUUGACAUCCCGGGAAUCCCUUGGAAACAAGGGAGUGGCCCUUCGGGGAACCUGGAGACAGGUGCUGCAUGGCUGUCGUCAGCUCGUGUCGUGAGAUGUAGGGUUAAGUCCCGCAACGAGCGCAACCCUUGUCUUUAAUUGCCAUCAUUGAGUUGGGCACUUUAAAGAGACUGCCGGGUGUUAAACCGGAGGAAGGUGGGGAUGACGUCAAGUCCUCAUGGCCUUUAUGCCCAGGGCUACACACGUGCUACAAUGGCUGAAACAGAGGGAGGCGAAGGGGUGACCUGGAGCGAAACCCAGAAAACAGUCUCAGUUCGGAUUGAAGUCUGCAACUCGACUUCAUGAAGUCGGAAUCGCUAGUAAUCGCGGAUCAGAACGCCGCGGUGAAUACGUUCUCGGGUUU